This 206-nucleotide long non-coding RNA is filed under the name Lathyrus oleraceus (garden pea). RNAcentral describes it as "Pisum sativum (pea) long non-coding RNA (PSAT_LNC019648)". The record is from RNAcentral. Lineage: Eukaryota; Viridiplantae; Streptophyta; Magnoliopsida; Fabales; Fabaceae.
AAGACGUUACAUGUUUUGCUUAGUCGAUCGUUAUAGACGGUUAACUUAGGACUAGUAUAUAAGUAAGUAUACACUUAUCUUUUUAGAGGUCCACAAUUGUACAAAAACUCUGUAAAACUUAAAGUAUUCGUGUGUUUGUGAGAAAAGAGUCAAGAAUGUAUGUAUAUGCGUUCCAUUUUUUACAAAUCAAAGUUUUUAUUGAAAUU